UACAGAGGUCUCAAGCGUUGUUCGGAAUUACUGGGCGUAAAGCGCACGUAGGCGGCUUGGUAAGUUAGAGGUGAAAGCCUGGAGCUCAACUCCAGAAUUGCCUUUAAGACUGCCGAGCUAGCAGGUGAGAGAGGUAAGUGGAAUUCCGAGUGUAGAGGUGAAAUUCGUAGAUAUUCGGAAGAACACCAGUGGCGAAGGCGGCUUACUGGCUCAUACUGGACGCUGAGGUGCGAAAGCGUGGGGAGCAAACAGG
This 253-nucleotide ribosomal RNA is filed under the name uncultured bacterium. RNAcentral's name for it is "partial 16S ribosomal RNA". It matches the Rfam family "Bacterial small subunit ribosomal RNA", at positions 524 to 776 of the family's 1533-position model. The record is from RNAcentral.